CCCUUAGAUGUUCUGGGCGGCCCGCGCACUACAAUGGCGCUUUCAGCGAGUUCCUAUGUUGAAUUUUCCUGGGUAUUCUUGGAAGCGGCGUCUUGACUUGGGAUAGAUCCUUGUAAUUGUUGGUUUUGAACGAGGAAUUCCUAGUAAGCACAAGUCAUCGGCUUGUGUUGAUUACGUCCCUGCCCUUUGUACACACCGCCCGUCGCUCCUACCGAUUGAAUGUUCCGGUGAGCUCUUCGGACUGCGCGGUCUACAGUUUCUGCGUUCCGUGCGGAAAGUUGCGCAAACCUUAACAUUUAGAGGAAGGAGAAGUCGUAACA
Molecule: ribosomal RNA, 320 nt
Filed under: uncultured eukaryote
Lineage: Eukaryota
Description: partial 18S ribosomal RNA
Rfam family: Eukaryotic small subunit ribosomal RNA
Source: RNAcentral